This 301-nucleotide ribosomal RNA is filed under the name uncultured bacterium. RNAcentral's name for it is "partial 16S ribosomal RNA". It matches the Rfam family "Bacterial small subunit ribosomal RNA", at positions 509 to 807 of the family's 1533-position model. The record is from RNAcentral.
CAGUAGCCGCGGUAAUACGAGGGGUGCAAGCGUUAUUCGGAUUGAUUGGGUGUAAAGGGUGUGCAGACGGCUUAUUAAGUCACUUGUUAAGUUCUUCGGCCUAACUGAAGGUCUGCAAGUGAUACUGAUGAGCUAGAGGGUGGAAGAGAGAAGUGGAAUUCUCGGAGUAGCGGUAAAAUGCGUAGAUCUCGAGAGGAACACCAAUGGCGAAGGCAGCUUCUUGGUCCAUUCCUGACGUUCAUACACGAAAGCGUGGGGAGCAAACAGGAUUAGAUACCCCCGUAGUCCCUGUCUCUUAUAC